GCCUCUGUGGCGCAAUUGGCUAGCGCGUUCGGCUGUUAACCGGAAGGCUGGUGGUUCGAUCCCACCCAGGGGCG
Non-coding RNA from Daphnia pulex (common water flea), 74 nucleotides. The record is from Rfam. NCBI's taxonomy places the organism in Eukaryota, Metazoa, Arthropoda, Branchiopoda, Diplostraca, Daphniidae.